CGGCGGCGCCGUCAGUCAUGCGCGGGCUGGGCGGGGCCGCGCGUGCCGGCGUUGCCGGGUUACGGCCGCCCCGGGCAAUGGCGGCGGGGCCGCCCCGCGGUUGGUGCCUGGCGAUUUAAAGUCGUAGGAAUAGCCGGCAAAGCUGCUUAAGGCUGUGUUGAAAAUGCUGGGAGAAAAAAAGCAGUUAAUGGUGGCAAGAGACCUUUACACAGACCCCACGUUUCCGGCCAGUGAUACCUCCAUAUUUUUUAAUUAUUGUACCCCGCUUGCCCAGUUCAGAGGAGAGAUAUCUUGGUUGAGACCUAAGGACAUAUGUUCCUCUCCUCGGUUAUUUUCAAACAAUCUGCAGGAUGUGCAAGUGAAACAAGGAAUUUUGGGAGACUGUUGGUUCCUGUGUGCCUGUGUAGCUUUGCAGAAGAGCAAAUACUUACUGAACAAGGUGAUCCCUCCAGGUCAGCCCAGCUGGACAGACGAGUCCUAUCAAGGCUGCUUCACGUGCCGGGUCUGGCAGUUUGGCCACUGGGUAGAAGUGACCAUUGAUGAUCGCCUGCCUUGCCUUGGGGGCAAACUCUGCUUUUCCCAGUGUCAGACAGAGGAUUUGUUUUGGCUUCCACUACUGGAAAAAGCUUAUGCAAAAGUGCAUGGAUCUUAUGAGCAGUUGUGGGCAGGACAAGUGGCAGAUGCUUUGGUUGAUCUGACUGGAGGAAUUGCUGAAAGAUGGACCCUGAAAGGCCCUGGAAAAAAUGUGGAGAAAGGGAAGACUGGCAUGGUUUUGGAGAAGGCCAUGUUUAGAAGAUUGAUGAAUCUGAAGGAACAGUGUGUAAUAAGCUGUUCAGUCCUCAACUCCAGACAAGGUGCAAGUGAACUGGGAGAAUUUCAUGCCUUUAUUGUGAUAGACACAUUGAAUCUCUCUGAAGUGUCAGGCAAGGAAAUCUUCCUGCUACGAAUACGAAAUCCUUGGGGGAGGCGGUGCUGGAAAGGGCCUUGGUGUGAGGGUGGUCAAGGAUGGAACCAGCUAGAUCCAGUAAUUGCUUCAGAACUCCUCUCACAGAUCCAAGAAGGAGAAUUCUGGGUUGAUGAAGAGGAAUUUUUCAGGGAAUUUGAUGAGAUUACUGUGGGCUUUCCAGUCAAUGAGGAAGGACAACUUCAGAGCCUCUAUACAGAGAAAGUGUUGUAUCACUCUCAGAAUCUCUUUGGAUCCUGGGUGAGAGGCCAGUCUGCAGGUGGCUGCCGCAACAACAGCAGCUUCCCCACCAACCCCAAGUUCUGGCUGAGGGUCUGGGAGUCGAGUGAGGUGUGCAUUGCUCUGCUGCAGAAACACAGGAAAUACAGCACUGACUGGGCUGGAAGGAUUCAACAUCCAACCCGCCUAGCAGAGGAAAAUCCAUCUUUGACUGAGGGCAUACAGGGGAAGAAUUACCAGGCUGUGGGAUUACAUGUCUGGAAGGUGGAGAAGAAACGAUUUAACCUUCCAAAGACCCUCUCUGCUCCUCCAGUUGUAGGUACUGUCUGCCAUUCCUACGAUAGAGAAGUCCAUGUGUGCUGUGACCUUUCACCUGGCUUUUAUCUUGUUGUUCCCAGCACUUUUCUGAAAGAUGCAGUAGGGAAUUUCUUGCUUCGCGUAUUUUCAACGGGAAGGAUCUCUCUCAGUGAGCUAAAGCCACCACCCAUGGAUGCUGCCCUCUGUGAAGAACUCCCAGCUGGUGAAUGGGAGACAGUGCAGCUGCAUGGAUGCUGGAAGAAUGGGCUAAAUGCCGGAGGUAGCAGGAACUUCCCCUCCUUCCAUACCAAUCCCUGCUUUCCCCUCUCCAUUCCUGCAGGACCAGAGAAAAGCAGUGUGAAAGUCACCCUCCGUCAGCACUGCCUGGACAGCAAGUGUUGUCCUAUAGGUUUCCAUAUUUUCCAGGUGCCUGACAGCAGUUGGAAACCACAAACUACUUCUUUUGUACACUUGGAGCCACUGAAGGCAGUUUUACAGUGGUCAUAGCAACCAAAAUAGACAGGAAGCGCAUUCACAGCCAGGAGACACUUGGACAAGUAUUACAGGAGGUUUCCUUUACAACUGUGAUGAAAAGGUAGUGUGGAAUUCUGACACUGUCUUUUCAAGAAACAUCAGGAAGCCAAGGAGAAUGCCUCAUCUCUUGCUCUUGUCAGUUUUAAAUGGAAUAACAAGAUGCUCUUAGCCCAGCUGUUUUUCACUGGUACCAACUGCCAGGCCUGUAACGACUUCUUUGUGAAAAAUACCUCUUAAUCAUGAACACUCUGAAUAUUUGGUCUUCCCACAUUUUUAGAAGGAGCAUUGUACAGCAAAUUAUCAUGUACCUCAGUUCUUCAAAAAUACAGGUGAAGAACACGUGCAUGUUUUAACCCAAGCUAUGAUUUUGGAAGAAAACCAUAAAACUUACAUGUAAGGCCAGGUUGGAUGGAGCCCUGAUCACCCUGGUCUCAUGGAAUGUAUCCCUGCCCUUGGCAGGGGGAUUGGAACAAGAUGAUCUUUAAGGUCCCUUCCAACCAUUCUAUGAUUGCAAAAUAAUAUUUUAUUGCGGGGGGGGGGGAUCAACCUGACAGAAUAACUUCAUGUGACCAAAGGGAUGGUGAACAUAGAAGAAAAACUGGAGUAUUUUUUUUUAGGUAGAGUAUACCUCAAGAACCAUCAAAAAUAUACUGGAAUAGGAAAAGUCCAAGUUUGUAUCUGACACUGCCAGUCCUGCUACUGAGCACUUUACCUUGGGCCCUCAAUGGAACCAAGCAGAUGGUGGGUUCAAAGGAAUUUUUUUUGGUGAGUUUUUUUUUAGUGAAUGCCAGAAAUAAAAAAAGACAAGACUUGAAAGCU
Passer domesticus (house sparrow) is the source of this 2833-nucleotide RNA transcript. It is a transcript of the gene named calpain 10, with no coding region annotated. The transcript is spliced from 14 exons. The record is from RefSeq and is a predicted model, not a curated record. Lineage: Eukaryota; Metazoa; Chordata; Aves; Passeriformes; Passeridae.